This 746-nucleotide ribosomal RNA is filed under the name uncultured Parvimonas sp. RNAcentral describes it as "bacterial SSU rRNA". It matches the Rfam family "Bacterial small subunit ribosomal RNA", at positions 28 to 776 of the family's 1533-position model. The record is from RNAcentral. Lineage: Bacteria; Bacillati; Bacillota; Tissierellia; Tissierellales; Peptoniphilaceae.
GACGAACGCGGGCGGCGUGCUUAACACAUGCAAGUCGAACGUGAUUUUUGUGGAAAUUCCUUCGGGAAUGGAAGUGAAAUGAAAGUGGCGAACGGGUGAGUAACACGUGAGCAACCUACCUUACACAGGGGGAUAGCCGUUGGAAACGACGAUUAAUACCGCAUGGGACCACAGAAUCGCAUGAUAUAGGGGUCAAAGAUUUAUCGGUGUAAGAAGGGCUCGCGUCUGAUUAGCUAGUUGGAAGGGUAAAGGCCUACCAAGGCGACGAUCAGUAGCCGGUCUGAGAGGAUGAACGGCCACAUUGGAACUGAGACACGGUCCAAACUCCUACGGGAGGCAGCAGUGGGGAAUAUUGCACAAUGGGGGGAACCCUGAUGCAGCGACGCCGCGUGAGCGAAGAAGGUUUUCGAAUCGUAAAGCUCUGUCCUAUGAGAAGAUAAUGACGGUAUCAUAGGAGGAAGCCCCGGCUAAAUACGUGCCAGCAGCCGCGGUAAUACGUAUGGGGCGAGCGUUGUCCGGAAUUAUUGGGCGUAAAGGGUACGUAGGCGGUUUUUUAAGUCAGGUGUGAAAGCGUGAGGCUUAACCUCAUUAAGCACUUGAAACUGGAAGACUUGAGUGAAGGAGAGGAAAGUGGAAUUCCUAGUGUAGCGGUGAAAUGCGUAGAUAUAUGGAGGAACACCGGUGGCGAAAGCGGCUCUCUGGUCUGUAACUGACGCUGAGGCUCGAAAGCGUGGGGAGCGAACAGG